UACGAAGGGGGCUAGCGUUGCUCGGAAUUACUGGGCGUAAAGCGCACGUAGGCGGCUCUUUAAGUCGGUGGUGAAAUCCUGGAGCUCAACUCCAGAACUGCCUUCGAUACUGGAGAGCUCGAGUCCGGGAGAGGUGAGUGGAACUGCGAGUGUAGAGGUGAAAUUCGUAGAUAUUCGCAAGAACACCAGUGGCGAAGGCGGCUCACUGGCCCGAUACCUGAC
Molecule: ribosomal RNA, 222 nt
Filed under: uncultured bacterium
Lineage: Bacteria
Description: partial 16S ribosomal RNA
Rfam family: Bacterial small subunit ribosomal RNA
Source: RNAcentral